CUGACCUCGAAUCAGGUAG
This 19-nucleotide ribosomal RNA is filed under the name Epichloe tembladerae. RNAcentral describes it as "partial 28S ribosomal RNA". The record is from RNAcentral. Lineage: Eukaryota; Fungi; Ascomycota; Sordariomycetes; Hypocreales; Clavicipitaceae.